RNAcentral lists this ribosomal RNA (403 nucleotides) under uncultured bacterium. Its description in RNAcentral is "bacterial SSU rRNA". It matches the Rfam family "Bacterial small subunit ribosomal RNA", at positions 56 to 507 of the family's 1533-position model. The record is from RNAcentral.
UGCAAGUCGAACGAGACCUUCGGGUCUAGUGGCGCACGGGUGCGUAACGCGUGGGAAUCUGCCCUUCGGUUCGGAAUAACUCAGGGAAACUUGAGCUAAUACCGGAUAAUGACGUAAGUCCAAAGAUUUAUCGCCGAAGGAUGAGCCCGCGUAGGAUUAGCUUGUUGUGGGGUAAUGGCCCACCAAGGCGACGAUCCUUAGCUGGUCUGAGAGGAUGAUCAGCCACGCUGGGACUGAGACACGGCCCAGACUCCUACGGGAGGCAGCAGUGGGAAUAUUGGACAAUGGGCGAAAGCCUGAUCCAGCAAUGCCGCGUGAGUGAUGAAGGCCUUAGGGUUGUAAAGCUCUUUUACCCGGGAUGAUAAUGACAGUACCGGGAGAAUAAGCUCCGGCUAACUCCGUG